AAGCCAGACUCCUACGGGAGGCAGCAGUGGGGGAUAUUGCACAAUGGGGGAAACCCUGAUGCAGCGACGCCGCGUGGGUGAAGAAGCGCCUCGGCGCGUAAAGCCCUGUCAGCAGGGAAGAAAAUGACGGUACCUGAAGAAGAAGCCCCGGCUAACUACGUGCCAGCAGCCGCGGUAAUACGUAGGGGGCAAGCGUUAUCCGGAUUUACUGGGUGUAAGGGGGCGCAGACGGCGAUGCAAGCCAGGAGUGAAAGCCCGGGGCCCAACCCCGGGACUGCUCUUGGAACUGCGUGGCUAGAGUGCAGGAGGGGCAGGCGGAAUUCCUGGUGUAGCGGUGAAAUGCGUAGAUAUCAGGAGGAACACCGGUGGCGAAGGCGGCCUGCUGGACUGCAACUGACGUUGAGGCCCGAAAGCGUGGGGAGCAAACAGGAUUAGAUACCCGAGUACC
RNAcentral lists this ribosomal RNA (448 nucleotides) under uncultured bacterium. Its description in RNAcentral is "partial 16S ribosomal RNA". It matches the Rfam family "Bacterial small subunit ribosomal RNA", at positions 328 to 794 of the family's 1533-position model. The record is from RNAcentral.